GGGAAUUAGCUCAGAUGGGAGAGCACCUGCUUUGCAAGCAGGGGGUCAGGGGUUCGAAUCCCCUAUUCUCC
RNAcentral lists this transfer RNA (71 nucleotides) under bovine gut metagenome. It matches the Rfam family "tRNA". From Rfam's summary of the family: Transfer RNA (tRNA) molecules are approximately 80 nucleotides in length. Their secondary structure includes four short double-helical elements and three loops (D, anti-codon, and T loops). The record is from RNAcentral.